CCCUUAGAUGUUCUGGGCCGCACGCGCGCUGCACUGAUGCAUUCAACGAGUAAUCUUUGACCUUGGUCGACAGAUCUGGGUAAUCUUUUGAAAUUGCAUCGUGAUGGGGCUUGCGGGUUGCAAUUACCCGCACCAACGAGGAAUUCCUAGUAAACGCAAGUCAUCAACUUGCAUUGAUUACGUCCCUGCCCUUUGUACACACCGCCCGUCGCUCCUACCGAUUGAGCGGUCCGGUGAAGACUCAGGAGAUGGGCGCGUGCUUGGUUCGCCAACUGCGCUGCCUGCCAAAUUUGUCUAAACCUUAUCGCUUAGAGGAAGGAGAAGUCGUAACA
Molecule: ribosomal RNA, 332 nt
Filed under: uncultured eukaryote
Lineage: Eukaryota
Description: partial 18S ribosomal RNA
Rfam family: Eukaryotic small subunit ribosomal RNA
Source: RNAcentral